Pelobates cultripes (western spadefoot toad) is the source of this 70-nucleotide non-coding RNA. Lineage: Eukaryota; Metazoa; Chordata; Amphibia; Anura; Pelobatidae. The record is from the annotation of a GenBank genome assembly.
CAUGCACCUGGCAUACAAUGUAGACAUCUGUAUUUAUUAAGAAACAGCUACAUUGUCUGCUGGGUUUCAA